Molecule: long non-coding RNA, 1262 nt
Organism: Molossus molossus (Pallas's mastiff bat)
Lineage: Eukaryota; Metazoa; Chordata; Mammalia; Chiroptera; Molossidae
Exons: 3
Source: RefSeq, a predicted model, not a curated record
AGAAUUUAAGUUAACCUCUGUAGUGACCAUGUGGAAAUCCUGACCUUGCUUGCAGACUUGACCUCUGGAUAUGACAAGGUAGCUUCAAUACAGAUUUACCAUUUAAUCCUGGAAACUAAAAACCAAAAAAAAAAUCUCACAGCAAGAAAGAUGCAGAAUUAUUUCCUAAGAAGUAGAAGAACCUAGUGUAUUCUGGUGGGCAAAGGAAAACAGUGUGAGAUUCUGUGUUCACUAAUAUACUUCAUCGGCUCAUGAAGAAAAGAAAUGCUGAAUCAGCAGGUAGAGUGAAGGAACAAUCAAGAUGAGAUGGCUGCUGCUGAUGUGACUCUCUAGGUCAUUAUUUCUCUUCCUGCUACAAAUGCUGCAAGACACUAAGCUUAAAGGAUCUAGAAGCAAACUACAAAAUCAAAAGAAAUUCACUCCGAAGACUCUGAAGAAAUAACAGGCUGAUCUUAUCCAUUUCUGAAAUACACUCUGUAAAACUCCACUGAUUCUAUAAAUCUAUUGCAAAAAGGACCAAACCAGGACAAAGUUCAGCAGAUAACUGGUUAAUGUUUAGAAGUGUAUGUCCACCAACAAGGAACCAUAAAUGGCACUAAUGCAAUGCUUCAGGUAAAUUUUAGUCUUUGAUAGUCUCGGCAAAUGAUCUACCAUUGCUCUACAUCAGUAAAUUGAAUGUUUUACUAACAAAUGGGAAAAUAAAACAUUUCAUGUUUUUACAGCUAACAACUUAGUAAUACCUACUCAGAGUACAUACUUCUUUAUGUACCCAUAUGAACAUACAAUGCUAUGGAAUGUAAAGAAGUAUGUAUUUUUGGUAGGCAAUAAAUCACCAAGAGGGAAAUAAACUGCAGCUAAAAGAAGCCCUUGCUUCUUUCUAUGUGAAUGACCUUCAUAUAGUAUAUUAACUUAGAAUCAAAGAGAUGACCUUUAGAAAUAAUAUCAUAAAAUGUACCUACUACUUAUAGAUGAAAACUAAAUGUCACUAAAAUUUUUAUUUUGUGAAGAAAAGCUUUACUGAAGUAGAUUUAAAAUUAUCAUGAAACUUCUUUUAAAUCUUUUACAUUUAAAAUACAAUAUAUUUUUAAAUCGAGUACUGACAUGAUUAAAAUUUGAAUACCAAAAAACCCAGUAUUACUAGCACCAAAGAAUGAGAGCUUUUUCCACAAUUUCAUCUUAAUUUAAGUAUAUCACAUUAGUAGGGUUAACUGAUUUGUUAAGAAAUACAAGAAACAACAAAAGCUGAUUUCAUUUACAUUUUU